Long non-coding RNA from Gadus morhua (Atlantic cod), 1068 nucleotides. RefSeq lists it as uncharacterized. The record is from RefSeq and is a predicted model, not a curated record. NCBI's taxonomy places the organism in Eukaryota, Metazoa, Chordata, Actinopteri, Gadiformes, Gadidae. The transcript is spliced from 2 exons.
GAUUUCCAGGGUAGUAUCGGCUCAAGAAAAUCGGUAUCGGCAUAUCGGUUAUCGGCUAAGGCUGAUGAAAAAAAAUCCAUAUCGGUCGAACCCUGGUGCUGAGUAUCUCUAUUCUCUAGGAAUCCAAACGCCUUCUUAUAAAUGAACAGUGAAUAUUGAGACUCAUUAAAGAGAUGGACAGGGGUUGCACUAUCUUCGUCAGGGCAUCCAACAGAGAACCUUUCAGCUAGGAGUCGAACCCCAAUGUAUACUGGUCACUGGUGACGGGAUAGGCCAUCGUUACUGGCGGGGUCAAACUGCACGCAGUGUGAGGGUUUGCUAAAUAAGGAACCUACUUCAUGUCAUGCUUUCGUAACAAAUGAACAGGAAGGAUGUAACCCCUCCCCCAAGCCCAAGGUCGCCUUCUCACUUCCCUUUUUUGGCCAGCUGGUAUGGGUGGUGCCCUCUGAUAAGGAGGAGCUGGGAUGCCUUGACCCAACUUGAGCUUCAGUGCAUCUGUGUCAGCUCUCUUGUUUUGGAAAGAUGCCCUUUGUUGCCGUGAUAAAUAGACAUCUCUAUUUUUAAAUGCGUUUCUGAAAAUGCCCACUUCUACACUGCCACUAUUGUGCAACCACCAUGACCAGUAUAAAAGGGAAAAUCUGCACCAAAUGGAGAAGGAAACAGCUGUCAACAGAAAUUAUUGCUGCCUCUUUUCAAACAAUUGCGGCCUUAAGUGGGUCACACAGCAUUCAUGAAGCACUGCAUGGCGUCACUUCAAAGAUAGGACAACGAUAAGAAGCGUUUAUGCAAAACAACCAAAUUGAAUGUUUUGUUCUUCAGACUUUUGCUAAAGUGUGACUCCCAUCAACUUCUACGCUUUGAGCACAGCUUUGGAUCAGAUACAUUACAUAGAAUACAUUUUGAUAUAGGUUGGCCUAGAUAUCGGUGUAUUAAUAAUAAGCAGGUGCUGCGUUACAUCUUGAAUCAGUUUCAGAAAGAGUGCCAUCUAAUGGUAGCUUUUUAAUCAAUCAUUUAAAAUGAACUUUUUAAUAAAAAACGUUAAGAUACAAAGGACACUUUGUAAUCCUA